Non-coding RNA from Odocoileus virginianus texanus, 1790 nucleotides. The record is from RefSeq and is a predicted model, not a curated record. NCBI's taxonomy places the organism in Eukaryota, Metazoa, Chordata, Mammalia, Artiodactyla, Cervidae.
CUGACCCCCCUGCAGUGGAAGCACAGAUUAAUAACCUCUGGAUUGCUAGGGAAGUCCCCUGAUUAAUUUCUGUACCUGUUUCAUAUGUACUUAGGGAAAAUGGAUUUGGUUGUUAUAUUCAGGAUUUUACCUGUGUCCAUUAUAUCAAGGUUUUUAAUCAAAUUGUCUAAAUAUAUUUAUUGAUUCAUUUUUGUUGCUCGACUGACCAAUAAUUGAGAGAGAGAUGUUGGAUUUGUCAAUUUCUCCCUAUACUACUAAUUUAUAGUAGUACAUAUAAAUUUUUGAUUUAAAUGGUGUGAGACUGCUAGAUGUGUAUCCAUUUAGAAUUCUUAUGUCUUCCUAGUAAGUUGAAAAUUUUUCCAUGAUUUAGUAACAGUUUUUGUCUUAAAGAUCAUUUUUGUGUGUGUGAUUUUGGUGAAGGUAUGCCAAUUCUCCUUUCUGGUGUAUCUUUUUUCGUCCUUUUAAUCUCAACUUUUCCACGUCCUUUAGUUUUAGUUGUCUCUUAAGCAGAACUUCUCCCAGUAUGUCUGCCUUUUAACUUAUGGGCUUAAUCCACUUAUAUCUGUGAGGAUUAUGACUACUGUGAAUAUAAACUUCCACCAUCUAAAUGAGGGCACAGAAGAGAAUGAGAGUCUUGAGGUCAUACAUCUUCACCAGUCAUUAAAAUGAGUGAUCUGACAACUCAGACCUGUUGAUUGCCUUCCACUUUUCCUCAAUAGGGCUUCUAUUAAGUUUCGAAUCUUGAGAAAAUGUUACUUUCUGAUUAGGCAUAGGAAUGGAAUCAAAUCUUUGGGAAAUUAAAGAAUCCACUUAAUUUCUCAAAAGAUUUCUCAGGAAACUCUGAGACGUAACAGAGGGUUGAGUGCUGGACAGAACUGACUGCUAAUCUUUGCUUGGUCCUUUUCUAACUAUGUGAUUUGGGGUACAUUCCUGAAUUGCUCUGAGGCUCAUUCUUCAGCUUGAAAUAAAAAAUCACCACACCAGUUUCCCCAGGAUUCUCUGCCUGUGGAUGGGAUCGCCUGUCAUAGAGGGGGUGCCCAGACUGUGUUUUCACUCUCUAUGUUCCUCCUUCCUCUUUCCAAGGGCAUGGCCUUAAUGAUGUCAAGAACAUUUUGUAAAUAUUACAAUAAGAUGUGUCACUGUGAUUAUUACUUAUUAAAAUCACUUUGCUUUCUGACUUAGGUGAUUCAUUUCAACUAAAAGAAAGAUUUGAGCAAAACAAUAACUGCCUCAUUUCAGCAGCUGGUUCUGUGUUGAUCAUGAUGUCAGUCUACACUGGCAUAGAUUUCAGGUGAACACCCAGCCGGGUGACCAGCUGUUGUCUGCUAAAGUGAGCUGAAACAGCAGUUGACUCAGCAUGCAACGUCCAGUGAGAAGGCCGGAGGACUGCCACAUUCCAGACCCCACAGGUGAGAAAGUCAGGCUUGGAUCAGGUGACCCUGGGCCUCUGGCUGUGGCGGCCAAGCCCACAGGACUACAAGGACCCCGGCAAGUGAGCGUGGUAGACCAGUUCACUCCAGCAGCCCACGUGCACUGGAUGAGGAGGAGCACACAAAACACAGACAACUCUAAAGUACACAAACCUGAAUGCAUCGGCUAGGCCAGGCUCUUUAGCCAAGGUGAAAUGACACCGGUUGUAGGGAGUUAGGGAUUUAUGAGGCCCCAGGGCAAAGUAACAAUGCAGGACUCCUUGUUCAAAGAGCAGAAAAGGGAUUUCCUUGGCAGUCCAGAGGUAAAGACUUUGCCUUCCAAUGCGGGGGAUGCGGGUUCAAACCCUGAUUGGAGAGCUA